AUCAUGGCUCAGAUUGAACGCUGGCGGAAUGCUUUACACAUGCAAGUCGAACGGUAGAGGGGGCAACCCUUGAGAGUGGCGAACGGGUGAGUAAUAUAUCGGAACGUGCCCAGUCGUGGGGAUAACGUAGCGAAAGUUACGCUAAUACCGCAUACGAUCUAUGGAUGAAAGCGGGGAUCGCAAGACCUCGCGCGAUUGGAGCGGCCGAUAUCAGAUUAGGUAGUUGGUGAGGUAAAGGCUCACCAAGCCGACGAUCUGUAGCUGGUCUGAGAGGACGACCAGCCACACUGGGACUGAGACACGGCCCAGACUCCUACGGGAGGCAGCAGUGGGGAAUUUUGGACAAUGGGCGCAAGCCUGAUCCAGCAAUGCCGCGUGCAGGAUGAAGGCCUUCGGGUUGUAAACUGCUUUUGUACGGAACGAAACGGUGAGCUCUAAUACAGUUUGCUAAUGACGGUACCGUAAGAAUAAGCACCGGCUAACUACGUG
This 489-nucleotide ribosomal RNA is filed under the name uncultured bacterium. RNAcentral describes it as "bacterial SSU rRNA". It matches the Rfam family "Bacterial small subunit ribosomal RNA", at positions 16 to 507 of the family's 1533-position model. The record is from RNAcentral.